This is a long non-coding RNA of Pygocentrus nattereri (red-bellied piranha), 1220 nucleotides long. Lineage: Eukaryota; Metazoa; Chordata; Actinopteri; Characiformes; Serrasalmidae. The record is from Ensembl.
UUUGCAGACUACUUCCUGUUCAUUCCAUUUUACUAAAAACAAGAGAGAAGGUGUCACGACUGCCCGUAACAGGAGAGACACUCGCUGAUGGAUAUUACAAGGUUUAAUUUAAUAGGGCAAUACAAGAUAAUCGUAAGGGACCGGCAGGGUCAAAAACAACAACAACAACAACAACAGCAGCAACAUAGACAUACCAGAGGGGAGUCGGACUGAAGAAAGGUCGGUACACGGGAGAGCAAAAACCAGUGAUUAUGGAGUCUGACAGUGAUCAGAGAGGACCAAUCCACAGGCAGCAAACCAGUGAGGAACAGGACAAAGACACACAAGUGUACUACGCUUCACUGAACAUUCCCAAAGAUGCAAGCAGACGGAUCAAGAGGAACCCCCCAAUGAACCCUGACUUCAGUUUGUACAGUGAGCUCAAUAAGGCCAAAAAGGAACAAGAUUAGGGCUUUAGAUGUGAUUAAUACGUCCAUCAAGAUUUCACUUAGUUUUUUCUUAAAUUUGUUCUUGAGAAAGGUCCUAAGAAAAAGUCUACGUCAGAUUCAUGAUGUGUUCUUCAACCGCAGAACACACAUGGUUCACACUUUUGUGCUCUUGAGUGUGUGUAGAUUCUGUUCUUACCAAAAAACAAAGAAAACAAGGUGGGCUUUAAGAAGAAAUUUCUUCUUACGAAUGGUUGGUGAAUGAGACCCAUUGUUAGCCAGGAGAAUUAAUGUUAAAUCCACAUGUAAUCUUUUCUGCAACAUUAACAAUGGAAGGAAUUUUUGCUUUUUUUUUUGGUCUUGCUGAAUUGAAGUGGAACAUAGAGAGGCUAUUUCUUUAAAUGCUUUAUACAUAUAAAAUGUGGCUUUUUUCCAGGCACAUUUAUUACUAAAGGCAGAUUUUGCUCACUGGCUGAUUUAUAGUUUAAAGCCAAGGCACCCUAUUUAGACUUUAUAACACUUCACCAAUUCUCUUAAAUUCUAUGUUCAAUUUUUCAGUUUUUUUAUUUGAUCUUUUUAUUCUUUCUUACAUUGCUUUGUUAAUGCCUUGUGCUUUGUGUGCUGCUUCAUGUAAAAUGCUAAUUAAAAGUUUACAAAAUGUAUGAAGCUGAUUAAGCAAUGCUUUUCCAAUUUUAUACGUCCUGAAGAAGCGUUGAAUUAGGAUUCAAAGCAUAAUGUCUGUAGCAUCAUGGAGCUAUGGUCUGUUUGUAGACCUUCAAUGCAAACUGAUGGAGC